Gorilla gorilla gorilla (western lowland gorilla) is the source of this 3586-nucleotide long non-coding RNA. RefSeq lists it as uncharacterized. The transcript has 3 exons. The record is from RefSeq and is a predicted model, not a curated record. NCBI's taxonomy places the organism in Eukaryota, Metazoa, Chordata, Mammalia, Primates, Hominidae.
GUCCAAUAGGGGGCGCCGCGUUGGAACGCCCGAAGAGGUUGCCAAGCCUGGGGGGAGAGGUGGUGUCCCAGGGGCCAACCCUUGGGUGUGUUGAUGGCGGCAGGCUAACCUAGCCAACGGGGUGCCGCUGCCGGGCAAGGUGAGGAGCAAGAAGAUUUCCAGGGCUGGGAGGUAGAGGGCCAGGACCCCAAGGAGAGGGCUUACUGCGAGGAGCAGCCCAGGAUGGAUAAGGAGUUGAGGCCCCAGGGAUGCUGAGCCUGCACAAGUGGAAGGUCAGUAGACAUUGGGGUUGGAGCCCCAGGGAGACUGCCAUGGGUGCUCCAAAGGGGUUGUUUGCUUUCGUCAGGCCUCGCGCUCACCCCCAAAGUACCAUUUGUCGAGGAACGGGUUCAGGGUCUCUGUUCGACACCCUCAUGGGUCUGUGGGACCCCUUUGUUCAUUCUUUCUGAUAUCAUGAUCUUUGCCAGGGGAGCACAUGCAUGGAGGUGACUAAAAAAAAUUUAAAAAGUUAGACAAAUACCAAUUCCUCAUCCUAGAGAGUAGAGCAGCAUACAAAUGAAAGAAAAGACCUCCACUUGGGGGGACCUUGAAAGUCUUGGUGGAGAAAAUGGCUUUUUAUAUGGGCCUCCAAGGAAGGAUAGACGCCUUGGCUAUGAAUAGAAGGUGGUAGUGGGGGAUGGGAGACGGUUUGCCCACCACGAACAAAGGAUUUAAUGGUAGGAAACAUGGGGCGUGGCUGGGUAAACACAACUGGCCACCUUGGCUGGCUCUUGGGGAGCAGGGGGAGAAAAGUUAGGAGAAAUUAGAUAGAAUCUCUCUGAGGAUGCCAUGGGGUAUGAGGGCAAGCACUUUUGAGGCUAUUUUGGCAGGAAACGGAAAGGAUGUUGAAAGUUUUUUGUUCUGCAAGUGAGGAUUUGAGCCUACUUUUAGGAAAAGCAGAAGCAGCAUGGAGGAUGAUCCUGAUCGAGAACAAAGGAAAGGGGUUAUGCACAAAGGAGAUGUUUAAAGGAGAGACCUAGCACGGUAAAGGAAGCAGUAAGGCUGAAGGACGGCACUCAAGAGGGGUCCCAAAGGAUCCUCCUGGAGCAGCUCUUAUGCUAGAAAGACACAAAAGAUGGAGGAGCCAAAGUAUGGCACCCAGAUGGAUGCAACACUGGGAGUGGGACAGGGAAGUCAGUGGGAGGGGCUGGCAAGGUGGCAGUGCUGACUUGGUUUUAGACAUGGCAGAGUUGAAGGAACUUUGGGCAGUUGGGAUGGAGAUUUUUGCAGCCCAUUAUCUGGGAGGAAGUUCAGAAAAAGAUAAAGGUCACACAUUCAAAUUGGCAAUCGUACUUACAAAGAUGAAUUUAUGGAGUCAGAGAAAACUCUUUAGGGGAGAAAUACAUUUGGUAAUAGAAUCUUGAACAACUGGCGCACUGGACAGGAAAAAGGGAGACAGUCCAGGAGUGAGUAGGGAGGACUCAGAAGGGAGAGAUGGGAGCACACCAGAGGAAGGGGUUUCAGAACCACUCAGCGCAUCUCAUCUAGACUUGGUGUUUUAGCCUCUGCACUGGUGGUAUUUGGGGCCAGGCAAUUCUUUGUUGUGGUGACUGCCCUGUGCAUUGUAGGAUGUUGAGCAGCAUCCCUAGCCUCUACCCACUAGAUGCCAGUAGCAUCCCCUUAGUUUUAACAACCAAAAAUGUCUCCAGACUUUGCUAAAUGUCCUCUGGGGGGCAAAAUCUCCCCCAGUUGAAAAUCACCACUAUAAGCUGAGAAAGGACCCUUAGAUUUGAAUAGGAAUUGCCUUAAUUUAAAGAUAAAUUAAGACUAGGAAGAAUAAAUCCCAGUAUUUAACCCUGAUAUUCCCCCUUUUUUCCACUCCUGUUAUUUCUCUGUAGUGACUGGCUACCAGACUCUGAAAAACCUAAGUCCUUUAGGGAAGACCACAAAGGCAUCCAACCACAGUCUGCGCUGCAGCCCGGCAGAACUAAGUCUUGGGCGCCGCGACGCCUUUCCUACGGAAUAGGUCCUGGAAGGAAGACCAUUUAAGGUAUUUUCCUUCUAUCAUCAUCCUUUUCUUAGGAGUUAAGAACCUGACCGUCAUUCAUCUCAAGCCCUCAAAACGCUUUACUAUUCCUCCAAAUCAUUGUCAUCCGAAUAAUUAAGCCGGCGCAAAAUGAGACACGCACACCAGGAAAAAAAAAAAAAUCAAUUUCCAAGUCGGAUGAGAUUUUUAAAAGACAUUUCACUUAAUCAGUCUUUCCCUCCAGGACUGGCGAGGAGAGUACGCCUUCCCUUCCGAAGGUGCGUUACCAGAUUGCUGCCGUUUUUGUGCUAGGUCAUCAGAGCAGAUUCCCCUCCAGGUUACAGGUUAAACUUAACUCUACCCGUGCUGAAAAUGGCCGGAGCACGCCGCCUCGCCUCCCCUCCCCAAGGCUGCCGGAGCCGCCGGCCCCUGCCUCCUUUUCGACGACUGAUCGUCCAAGGACUGGCGCCGGAUCCAACACCUUUCCCCAGCUCUGCGCGUACCGCGCUCUUUGGAAACGAAUUGUAAGUUAUCCUGAUGUUAGACGCGACCCCCGUCUCCAGCCUGUCCCUUGUUCCGCUUUACCUUUCCGCUUGCGACGAUCUCGAGGGCCUCCAGAGUUCCUGCGCAAACAGCCCAGGACGUCUCCUGCUAAGCCGCAUGCAGCCUGGCCACCCGACCAGCUGCGCCAAAAGCUUGGCAAUACCCCGACGUGACCAUGCCUGUGCGUUCAACCCUGGUAGCCCGUAGGGGCACCCCCAAGGGUCCCCUUACCUCCUCUACGUUUCCCCCAGGUACUUUCCCCUAACCGCCCGCCGCCGGGAGAGGUCAGCUCCGGCGCGCGCGGGCAGGUGCGCACACUCUUUGAGGCGGUCUCUGUCCCGCGAGCGACGGGAGGCGGGCUGUGGCGGCCAAGGCUGGCGCACGGCAGCUGGAGGCACUGGCGCGGAGGUCCCGCGGCUUAAUUGUCAGCUCUGGGACCUGGGCUCCCGGCUCUGAGCUGCUUAGGCGCCGCGCGCCCGUGACUUCCCUCCCGGGUGGUCAGUCUCUAGAGUUCUCGCCCAUUCCCAUUCUGAUUACUUUCCGCACAUUUCAACAGUGUCUUUUACAGCGCGGCUGCUCUCACAUCGUGAAAGUUGGCGCGCGCACCUCCGAACCACAUUUUGGACACCUGAGAAGGCCAACUUAUUUGAGACUAGUCUUUCUAGGAGGAAGAAAAGCGCGCAAAACAAGUGACUUACCAAUGCCGUUUGGGUGUGCAGCUCCAAAUCUGGGGUGCGUUCGGGAUUCAGUCGCGUAGCCGGGGCACCAGCUCGGAGACCUCAGGUUGUCUCCAGCGGGACGCACGGCGUGCGCCCCGCCGUCCAACAAGCCUUUGGCCACCAGGGCGCCCCUGGCAUCCUGGGAAGUUUGGGGGAGCCCUCGCCGCCUCACCCUGACCCCUGAUCCCGGGCUGGCCAGCUGAGCCUCCUCUCUUCCCACUCUCCCCUGACCUGCCUUUCCUUCUCACCUCCUUUCCGCCCGCGCUGCUCCCACACCGCCCUCAGGCUCCCCAAUUUAGCGGUGGGCAACUAACCUGAA